RNAcentral lists this long non-coding RNA (277 nucleotides) under Ananas comosus (pineapple). RNAcentral's name for it is "long non-coding RNA (ACOM_LNC042946)". Lineage: Eukaryota; Viridiplantae; Streptophyta; Magnoliopsida; Poales; Bromeliaceae. The record is from RNAcentral.
CUAAUAUGCAAAAAAAAACUACCCACAUCCCACGAUCCCAUCGUAACUACCCACAUCCCACAAACCUCUCCUAUACGCACGCACCAUACGCACGUUCUCCCGGGUAGUUAGACUAGUCCCAUAAAUAUCUCCCAAUGAGAAAGGGAGAGGACAGAGAGCUUUUUGAAUCUUCAGAAUCCAUUCCAAAAAAAAAAAUAUCUAGCCGAGUCCGUCGUUUACGAAAAAAAAAAGAAAAAGGUAAAAAAAAAAUUAUCUUUUUUCCUUCCCCAAAAUCAAA